RNAcentral lists this ribosomal RNA (1290 nucleotides) under Eoneureclipsis hainanensis. RNAcentral describes it as "16S ribosomal RNA". The record is from RNAcentral. Lineage: Eukaryota; Metazoa; Arthropoda; Insecta; Trichoptera; Psychomyiidae.
UAAUAUAAUCUUAAUUAAUUAAAAAUUUUUAUUAAAUUGAUUUAAAUAAAAUAUUUAUAGUUAAUAAAGUUAAAGUAUUUAAAAAUAAAUAAUUUUUGUUUUAUAGAGAAUAUUAUUGUAAAAGAAUGAUGAAAUAAUUUAAAUUUAAUUGUUUAAGAAGAAUAUUUAUAGAAUAGUAUCUUGUGUAUCAGAGUUUAUUAAUUAAAUUUUAUAUAUUAUUUAAAUUUCUUGAAAAAUAAAAAUUUAAAUAAUAUAUAAAAUUUAAUGUUAAAAAAUUAUAUUUUAAUGUUAUUUAGAAGUAAAAAGUUAUUCGAUUUAUUUGAUAUCUAGUUUUUUUUGAAAUAAAUUUAAUUUAUGUAAAUAUUUUUAAUUAAUAAAAUUAAUUUUAUUAAUUAAAAAUAUUUACAAGUAAUAUAAGGGAUAAGCUUUAUGUUAAAAUUUAAUAUUUGAAAUAUGAUUUAUAAAAAUUAUAUAAUUAAAAUUGUUUGUUAGAUUUAAUUUAUUAUAAAAUUUUUUAUUUAAAUUAAUAUUUAUUAAGAAUUUAAAUGUUUAAAAAAAAAAUAAAAUUAAUUAAUAAUUUUAUGUUAUUAUGAUAAAAUUAGUAUAUAAAAAUUUAAUAAAUAAAAUAAAUUUAAGAUAAUUUUGAAGAAUUCGGCAAAAAUUAUUUUUAACUGUUUAACAAAAACAUUUCUUUAUGUUAAUAUAUAAAGUAAGAUCUGCCCACUGAAUAUUUUUAAAGGGCUGCAGUAUUUUGACUGUGCAAAGGUAGCAUAAUAAUUAGUUUUUUGAUUGAAAACUUGUAUGAAUGAUUAAAUAAGAAAUAGACUAUUUUAAUUUUAAUUAAUAGAAAUUUAUUUUUUAGUAAAAAGGCUAAAAUUUUUGUAAAAGACAAGAAGACCCUAUAGAUCUUGAAAGUAAUUUUAAUUUAUUAUUAGGUUUAUUUUUUAGUUGGGGUGAUUAUAAAAUUAAUAAAACUUUUAUAUUUUUAUUUCGUUAAUUUAUGUUUAUUUGAUUAAUUAUUAUUUAUAUUAGAUAAAGUUACCUUAGGGAUAACAGCAUAAUUUUAAUUUUAAGUUCUUAUUUAAAUUAAAGAUUGUGACCUCGAUGUUGGAUUAAGAUAAUUUUUAAGUGCAAAAGUUUAAAUAUAUAGUCUGUUCGACUAGUAAUUUCUUACAUGAUCUGAGUUCAGACCGGUGUAAACCAGGUUGGUUUCUAUCUUUAUAGGAUUAUUUGGGAUUAGUACGAAAGGAUUAUUUUGAAGGAUAUUUUUUUAAAAGUUAGAAUAUUAUU